This 245-nucleotide ribosomal RNA is filed under the name Clostridioides difficile. Its description in RNAcentral is "partial 23S ribosomal RNA". It matches the Rfam family "Bacterial large subunit ribosomal RNA", at positions 76 to 321 of the family's 2925-position model. The record is from RNAcentral. Lineage: Bacteria; Bacillati; Bacillota; Clostridia; Peptostreptococcales; Peptostreptococcaceae.
CUUCGGGGAGUUGCACGUAAACUUUGAUCCGAAGAUUUCCGAAUGAGGAAACUCACUUAGAGUAAUGUCUAAGUAUCAUUAAGUGAAUACAUAGCUUAAUGAGGGGAACUCAGGGAACUGAAACAUCGAAGUACCUGAAGGAAGAGAAAGAAAUUCGAUUCCGUAAGUAGCGGCGAGCGAACGCGGAUUAGCCCAAACCAAUAAAGUUUUCUUUAUUGGGGUUGCGGACAUAUCAUAACGAAGAG